RNAcentral lists this ribosomal RNA (420 nucleotides) under bacterium. Its description in RNAcentral is "partial 16S ribosomal RNA". It matches the Rfam family "Bacterial small subunit ribosomal RNA", at positions 355 to 776 of the family's 1533-position model. The record is from RNAcentral.
UGGGGGAUAUUGCACAAUGGGCGAAAGCCUGAUGCAGCGACGCCGCGUGGGGGAUGAAGGCUUUCGGGUUGUAAACCUCUUUCGCUAUCGAACAAGGCCCGCUUAGGGUGGGUUGAGGGUAGGUGGAGAAGAAGCGCCGGCUAACUACGUGCCAGCAGCCGCGGUAAUACGUAGGGCGCGAGCGUUGUCCGGCAUUAUUGGGCGUACAGGGCUUGUAGGCGGCUUGUUGCGCCUGCUGUGAAAACGCGGGGCUUAACUUCGCGCGUGCAGUGGGUAGGGGCAGGCUUGAGUGUGGUAGGGGUGACUGGAAUUCCAGGUGUAGCGGUGGAAUGCGCAGAUAUCUGGAGGAACACCGAUGGCGAAGGCAGGGCACUGGGCCAUUACUGACGCUGAGGAGCGAAAGCAUGGGUAGCGAACAGG